CCGUGAGGAGGAGCAGAAUGUUGUUUUGGAAUUCUGCAAAGGGUGCGUUGAGCAUAAAAAGGCCUUUAUUUCAAUCCUUGCAUUAUUGUUAGUGAUUUCCUUCUAUGCUUAGUUCUGCAAGGUUUGGUUGUUGCAUGGUUUCUACAUUGUAAAAAUCCUGGGUCAUACUAUAAUCUCCCUCUGUUUGCAUAUGGAUGUAGGCCCAUAGCUUGCCAUAAGUUGAACGAUGCUAGUAUUUUUAUCACUUAUAUCUCGGGUAGUUUAUUGUUUGACAUGCCUGUGUAUAACACAGUCACUCAAUGUUAACCCAGAUCCUCUACUAUAUUGUUUUGUGAAUUAUCCAUAUUUCCAACCAGUUAUUUUGUAUUAUUCCUAUCAAAUAUUACUAUCAGGUAGAGUCCGUAGUUAUUUGGAAAAUUGAAAAUAAAUGGCUUUUCCAAGAUGUUAAGUGUGUUUAUUCCUAGGAAUUACUACAGAGUGCAUGGCUUGAUGUUACCAAAGUUAUUUAUGCCUUUGAUAAUAUUCAUAUUUAAUGGUAACUUAUAUAUGGAUCCAGAUUGCUGAAAGGUAGAAAGUACUUUGAUGCAUUGUCGCAAAAAGGUUCUAUCAAUGCUUUUAUUCGAUAGCAUAUUUUUUGGUUGGAACUGUAGAUUAUAGGCCAAGGGAGCAAAUAAGCAUUUGGAAUGAUUUGCUAUGGCCCAGCAGUCAUCUAGGCUCCAGACAGUAUCCUUCACAAUUUCCUUAUUUUUACAUUUACUUAACCCUUUAUUUAUUUUUUUUCCUGAAUUUUCUUUAACCAAACUUUUAAAGCUGGGUCAACCCAAGCUACAGGGUUGACCGCUGCUCGUCAGAUAGGGGGACAUUGCAAAAUCACACCCUCAAGACUUGACCAGUCUUCUCAAGAAGGUAUCAGUUUUGCUAAUGUUCUAUUUAUACUAUUUUUCUGUAAUAUGUUUCAUUAUGUACUGUCUUCAUUGGUAAUGUACUUGUACCUUUUCAUCUCUGUCUCUCUGCUAUCAAAAACAUUUUGUUGGUGGAUGACUCUAUGUUUAAAUAUUGAGAUAUGAAACCGUUUCUUGACCUGCUUGUGAUGGUUGAAGCUUUUUGGAGUAGUUUUUUGACUUGUUUUUUAGCC
Molecule: long non-coding RNA, 1135 nt
Filed under: Vigna radiata
Lineage: Eukaryota; Viridiplantae; Streptophyta; Magnoliopsida; Fabales; Fabaceae
Description: long non-coding RNA (VRAD_LNC010037)
Source: RNAcentral